AGAUAAUAGAUACCCGGGUAGUCCACGCCGUAAACUAUGCUUGCUAGCUGUUAUCAGUAUCGACCCUGGUAGUAGCGAAAGCUAACGCGUUAAGCAAGCCGCCUGUGGAGUACGAGCGCAAGCUUAAAACAUAAAGGAAUUGACGGGGACCCGCACAAGCGGUGGAGCGUGUUGUUUAAUUCGACGGUAAGCGAAGAACCUUACCCAGGCUUGACAUCCUGCCAAGUUUUCCGAAAGGAAAAUGUGCCUUCGGGCCGCAGUGACAGGUGAUGCAUGGCCGUCGUCAGCUCGUGUCGUGAGAUGUUUUAGG
This 310-nucleotide ribosomal RNA is filed under the name uncultured bacterium. RNAcentral describes it as "bacterial SSU rRNA". It matches the Rfam family "Bacterial small subunit ribosomal RNA", at positions 775 to 1084 of the family's 1533-position model. The record is from RNAcentral.